GGAUUAGAUACCCUGGUAGUCCACGCCCUAAACGAUGGAUACUCGACAUACGCGAUACACUGUGUGUGUCUGAGCGAAAGCAUUAAGUAUCCCACCUGGGAAGUACGUUCGCAAGAAUGAAACUCAAAGGAAUUGGCGGGGGUCCGCACAAGCGGUGGAGUAUGUGGUUUAAUUCGAUGAUACGCGAGGAACCUUACCUGGGCUAGAAUGCUGGGAGACUGCUAGUGAAAGCUAGUUUUGUAGCAAUACACUGCCAGUAAGGUGCUGCAUGGCCGUCGUCAGCUCGUGCCG
RNAcentral lists this ribosomal RNA (291 nucleotides) under uncultured bacterium. RNAcentral's name for it is "partial 16S ribosomal RNA". It matches the Rfam family "Bacterial small subunit ribosomal RNA", at positions 775 to 1067 of the family's 1533-position model. The record is from RNAcentral.